GGAUUAGAUACCCUGGUAGUCCACGCCGUAAACUAUCAAUACUCGUUUUCGGCGAUAUACAGUCGGAGACUAAGCGAAAGUGAUAAGUAUUGCACCUGGGGAGUACGAUCGCAAGGUUGAAACUCAAAGGAAUUGACGGGGGCCCGCACAAGCGGUGGAGCAUGUGGUUUAAUUCGAUGAUACGCGAGGAACCUUACCAGGGCUUAAAUGUAUUCUGACAGAUUUGGAAACAGAUCCUUCUUCGGACAGAUUACAAGGUGCUGCAUGGCUGUCGUCAGCUCGUGCCG
Molecule: ribosomal RNA, 287 nt
Filed under: uncultured bacterium
Lineage: Bacteria
Description: partial 16S ribosomal RNA
Rfam family: Bacterial small subunit ribosomal RNA
Source: RNAcentral